This 460-nucleotide ribosomal RNA is filed under the name uncultured bacterium. RNAcentral describes it as "partial 16S ribosomal RNA". It matches the Rfam family "Bacterial small subunit ribosomal RNA", at positions 338 to 795 of the family's 1533-position model. The record is from RNAcentral.
CCUACGGGGAGUAGCAGUGAGGAAUAUUGGUCAAUGGACGAGAGUCUGAACCAGCCAAGUAGCGUGAAGGAUGACUGCCCUAUGGGUUGUAAACUUCUUUUAUAUGGGAAUAAAACGUUCCACGUGUGGGAUUUUGUAUGUACCAUAUGAAUAAGGAUCGGCUAACUCCGUGCCAGCAGCCGCGGUAAUACGGAGGAUCCGAGCGUUAUCCGGAUUUAUUGGGUUUAAAGGGAGCGUAGGUGGAUUGUUAAGUCAGUUGUGAAAGUUUGCGGCUCAACCGUAAAAUUGCAGUUGAAACUGGCAGUCUUGAGUACAGUAGAGGUGGGCGGAAGUCGUGGUGUAGCGGUGAAAUGCUUAGAUAUCACGAAGAACUCCGAUUGCGAAGGCAGUUCACUGCACUGCAACUGACACUGAGGCUCGAAAGUGUGGGUAUCAAACAGGAUUAGAUACCCGGGUAGUC